RNAcentral lists this ribosomal RNA (248 nucleotides) under Cryptosporidium baileyi. RNAcentral describes it as "partial small subunit ribosomal RNA". It matches the Rfam family "Eukaryotic small subunit ribosomal RNA", at positions 386 to 635 of the family's 1831-position model. Lineage: Eukaryota; Apicomplexa; Conoidasida; Eucoccidiorida; Cryptosporidiidae. The record is from RNAcentral.
GAGAGGGAGCCUGAGAAACGGCUACCACAUCUAAGGAAGGCAGCCGGCGCGCAAAUUACCCAUUCCUGACACAGGGAGGUAGUGACAAGAAAUAACAAUACAGGACCUAACGGUCUUGUAAUUGGAAUGAGUUAAGUAUAAACCCCUUUACAAGUAGCAAUUGGAGGGCAAGUCUGGUGUCAGCAGCCGCGGUAAUUCCAGCUCCAAUAGCGUAUAUUAAAGUUGUUGCAGUUAAAAAGCUCGUAGUU